RNAcentral lists this long non-coding RNA (1093 nucleotides) under Limulus polyphemus (Atlantic horseshoe crab). Its description in RNAcentral is "uncharacterized LOC106473064, transcript variant X1". Lineage: Eukaryota; Metazoa; Arthropoda; Merostomata; Xiphosura; Limulidae. The record is from RNAcentral.
AACGAUAGCUCAGUUAUCAUCAACAUUCAGCAGCUGGUUGCGAUGGUUACUAGUAUCGCCUUAGAAACGCUACUGAUAAGCUGGUGACCACAUGUGCUUCAUGCAGAGAGAGAAGACAUUUUGUGAUUGGCCUUAGUUUUGAUUGGUCAACACUCGGGGCUUGCUUAUCAACUUGUUGAAAAUCUGUACAACGUAAUCGUUCCCCCAGAUACAACAUACAGAAUAUGAAAAUUCCGUCGACUUCGGUUGUACAAGAGAAGCGGGUAUCCUUGUUCCGCCGCCAGAGGUCCUACAAGGCCGCCACGACUUACAGAGAACUGGUGAAAAAGAAGGUACUGAAACGGGUUCAUGGGAAACUACAAAGAAUCCACGAGUAUCGUCGGCUGAGGUCAAUGGUUCCCAGUGUUGCUAAGAAGCCGCACGUGCCCAAGGUAACGAUCAUAGAAGAAGCAAUCCGUUAUAUCGAACAACUACAUAACGCUCUGCUGACGAGAUUAAGGACACGAGGUCUACCCUCAUGCCUUCAAGGCAUGGACAUUGACAUUCAUAGCUUUGGUCAUUCUCAAAUUCAAGACCUCGUGCGCCAUCUGAUGGUGAAUUCUAACACUUCUUCUUCUACUGGAGUACCUGUAAGUUUGUCAAGAAAUGCUUGCGAGAAAACAAGACCUAUUCCAUCAUAUCUUCUACGGAAGGGGAAGAAAAUGGAAUUGUCUGAGCAGUAGUAGUAGUCGUUUGGUUUUUCGUGAGGUGUCAGAGUUCACGGAUCUGCCUUAAUUCUCUCAUCCUUCUACAUAAACCCGUAAAGUAAAUCAAGUGGCUGUGCACUGUUUCUCGCUGUUGCUUAAUAUUUGGACUGAUGACUUUGACACUAGUGCUGUUCAGGGCUUUCAAGGAUACUAUGGGCUUACGUGUAAAGGGAAGUACCCUGAAACAAGUGGACACUAGUGCUACUCCGGUCUAACUAUGGGCUUACGUGUAAAGGGAAGCACCCUGAAACAAGUGAACACUAGUGCUACUCCGGUCUUACUAUGGGCUUACGUGUAAAGGGAAGCACCCUGAACAAGUGGACACUAGUGCUGUUCAGGUCUUUCAA